Molecule: long non-coding RNA, 260 nt
Filed under: Hordeum vulgare
Lineage: Eukaryota; Viridiplantae; Streptophyta; Magnoliopsida; Poales; Poaceae
Description: long non-coding RNA (HVUL_LNC010136)
Source: RNAcentral
AGGAAAGGAGCACUCGGCCCCCUCUUUCUCCUCCAAUACAGCUCGAGGAGCAACCAUGUAAUACCAAUAUACCUCAUAUACAGACAUGCAGGAAUAGGGGUACUAUCUCAGCAGAGCCCCAAACCUGGAUAAACCACCGUGUGCUAUUACCCUACCCCGUCCUGGAUCUUUCAGGGCAACCUUGCUCUCACCUCGAUUAGCCACCCCCUUCGUCAGAAAACGACUAUACUUGGCGGUCAUCGUGGGGCUAGCUGGUGGUG